GCUUCGAUAGCUCAGUCGGGAGAGCGCAGGUCUCAUAUUUCAGCAUAUGACCGUGUUUGCGGGGAAUCCUGAGGUCGUGAGUUCAAGCCUCACUCGGAGCA
Pleurotus ostreatoroseus is the source of this 101-nucleotide non-coding RNA. NCBI's taxonomy places the organism in Eukaryota, Fungi, Basidiomycota, Agaricomycetes, Agaricales, Pleurotaceae. The record is from the annotation of a GenBank genome assembly.